UCUUCUUGUUUUUAAAGACCUAGCAAUAGGUAUGCUUAGGGAGGAGCUUGCGUCACAUUAGUUAGUUGGUGGGGUAAAGGCCUACCAAGACUAUGAUGUGUAGCCGGGCUGAGAGGUUGAACGGCCACAUUGGGACUGAGACACGGCCCAAACUCCUACGGGAGGCAGCAGUAGGGAAUUUUCGGCAAUGGAGGAAACUCUGACCGAGCAACGCCACGUGAACGAUGAAGUAUUUCGGUACGUAAAGUUCUUUUAUUAGGGAAGAAUAAAUGAUGGAAAAAUCAUUCUGACGGUACCUAAUGAAUAAGCCCCGGCUAACUAUGUGCCAGCAGCCGCGGUAAUACAUAGGGGGCAAGCGUUAUCCGGAAUUAUUGGGCGUAAAGGGUGCGUAGGCGGUUAAAUAAGUUUAUGGUCUAAGUGCAAUGCUCAACAUUGUGAUGCUAUAAAAACUGUUUAGCUAGAGUAAGAUAGAGGCAAGUGGAAUUCCAUGUGUAGUGGUAAAAUGCGUAAAUAUAUGGAGGAACACCAGUAGCGAAGGCGGCUUGCUGGGUCUUUACUGACGCUGAGGCACGAAAGCGUGGGGAGCAAACAGGAUUAGAUACCCUGGUAGUCCACGCCGUAAACGAUGAGUACUAAACGUUGGGUAAAACCAGUGUUGAAGUUAACACAUUAAGUACUCCGCCUGAGUAGUACGUACGCAAGUAUGAAACUUAAAGGAAUUGACGGGACUCCGCACAAGCGGUGGAUCAUGUUGUUUAAUUCGAAGGUACCCGAAAAACCUCACCAGGUCUUGACAUGCUUCUGCAAAGCUGUAGAAACACAGUGGAGGUUAUCAGUUGCACAGGUGGUGCAUGGUUGUCGUCAGCUCGUGUCGUGAGAUGUUGGGUUAAGUCCCGCAACGAGCGCAACCCUUAUUGUUAGUUACCAGCACGUAAUGGUGGGGACUUUAGCAAGACUGCCAGUGAUAAAUUGGAGGAAGGUGGGGACGACGUCAAAUCAUCAUGCCCCUUAUGACCUGGGCUACAAACGUGAAACAAUGGCUGUUACAAAGGGUAGCUGAAGCGCAAGUUUUUGGCGAAUCUCAAAAAAACAGUCUCAGUUCGGAUUGAAGUCUGCAACUCGACUUCAUGAAGUUGGAAUCGCUAGUAAUCGCGAAUCAG
This 1160-nucleotide ribosomal RNA is filed under the name Sesame phyllody phytoplasma. RNAcentral describes it as "bacterial SSU rRNA". It matches the Rfam family "Bacterial small subunit ribosomal RNA", at positions 181 to 1352 of the family's 1533-position model. The record is from RNAcentral. Lineage: Bacteria; Bacillati; Mycoplasmatota; Mollicutes; Acholeplasmatales; Acholeplasmataceae.